RNAcentral lists this ribosomal RNA (222 nucleotides) under Vibrio parahaemolyticus. RNAcentral describes it as "partial 16S ribosomal RNA". It matches the Rfam family "Bacterial small subunit ribosomal RNA", at positions 127 to 351 of the family's 1533-position model. The record is from RNAcentral. Lineage: Bacteria; Pseudomonadati; Pseudomonadota; Gammaproteobacteria; Vibrionales; Vibrionaceae.
UGCCCUGAUGUGGGGGAUAACCAUUGGAAACGAUGGCUAAUACCGCAUGAUGCCUACGGGCCAAAGAGGGGGACCUUCGGGCCUCUCGCGUCAGGAUAUGCCUAGGUGGGAUUAGCUAGUUGGUGAGGUAAGGGCUCACCAAGGCGACGAUCCCUAGCUGGUCUGAGAGGAUGAUCAGCCACACUGGAACUGAGACACGGUCCAGACUCCUACGGGAGGCAG